GGAGAGAUGGCCGAGCGGU
Molecule: transfer RNA, 19 nt
Filed under: Euphorbia dendroides
Lineage: Eukaryota; Viridiplantae; Streptophyta; Magnoliopsida; Malpighiales; Euphorbiaceae
Also listed under: 25 other names
Description: partial tRNA-Ser
Source: RNAcentral